This 478-nucleotide ribosomal RNA is filed under the name uncultured bacterium. RNAcentral's name for it is "bacterial SSU rRNA". It matches the Rfam family "Bacterial small subunit ribosomal RNA", at positions 28 to 507 of the family's 1533-position model. The record is from RNAcentral.
GAUGAACGCUGGCGGCGUGCUUAAUGCAUGCAAGUCGAACGAGAACCUUUUUGUAGGUAACUACAGAGAGACUUCUAGUGGCGAACGGGUGAGUAACACGUGAGAAACCUGCCCCGAAGACCCGGGAUAGCCCAUGGAAACGUGGAUUAAUACCGGAUACCCUCACGGAAUCGCAUGGUUCUGUGAGGAAAUGCUCCGGCGCUUUGGGAUGGUCUCGCGGCCUAUCAGCUUGUUGGUGAGGUAACGGCUCACCAAGGCACUGACGGGUAGCUGGUCUGAGAGGACGAUCAGCCACACUGGGACUGAGACACGGCCCAGACUCCUACGGGAGGCAGCAGCAGGGAAUAUUGCACAAUGGGCGCAAGCCUGAUGCAGCGACGCCGCGUGAGGGAUGAAGGCUUUCGGGUUGUAAACCUCUUACAGUGGGGAAGAAGCGCAAGUGACGGUACCCACACAAGAAGGCCCGGCCAACUACGUG